RNAcentral lists this ribosomal RNA (268 nucleotides) under Lactobacillus sp. HBUAS51381. RNAcentral describes it as "partial 16S ribosomal RNA". It matches the Rfam family "Bacterial small subunit ribosomal RNA", at positions 375 to 635 of the family's 1533-position model. The record is from RNAcentral. Lineage: Bacteria; Bacillati; Bacillota; Bacilli; Lactobacillales; Lactobacillaceae.
ACGAAAGUCUGAUGGAGCAAUGCCGCGUGAGUGAAGAAGGGUUUCGGCUCGUAAAACUCUGUUGUUAAAGAAGAACACUCUUGAGAGUAACUGUUCAGGGGUUGACGGUAUUUAACCAGAAAGCCACGGCUAACUACGUGCCAGCAGCCGCGGUAAUACGUAGGUGGCGAGCGUUGUCCGGAUUUAUUGGGCGUAAAGCGAGCGCAGGCGGUUUCUUAAGUCUGAUGUGAAAGCCUUCGGCUUAACCGGAGAAGUGCAUCGGAAACUG